ACACCGGCGGCCCGAGUGGUGAUCGUGAUUAUUGGGUCUAAAGGGUCCGUAGCCGGUUUGGUCAGUCCUCCGGGAAAUCUGAUAGCUCAACUAUUAGGCUUUCGGGGGAUACUGCCAGACUUGGAACCGGGAGAGGUAAGAGGUACUACAGGGGUAGGAGUGAACUCUUGUAAUCCCUGUGGGACCACCUGUGGCGAAGGCGUCUUACCAGAACGGGUUCGACGGUGAGGGACGAAAGCUGGGGGCACGAACCGGAUUAGAUACCCGGGUAGUCCCAGCCGUAAACGAUGCUCGCUAGGUGUCAGGCAUGGCGCGACCGUGUCUGGUGCCGCAGGGAAGCCGUGAAGCGAGCCACCUGGGAAGUACGGCCGCAAGGCUGAAACUUAAAGGAAUUGACGGGG
Molecule: ribosomal RNA, 401 nt
Filed under: uncultured bacterium
Lineage: Bacteria
Description: partial 16S ribosomal RNA
Rfam family: Archaeal small subunit ribosomal RNA
Source: RNAcentral